RNAcentral lists this non-coding RNA (28 nucleotides) under Mus musculus (house mouse). Lineage: Eukaryota; Metazoa; Chordata; Mammalia; Rodentia; Muridae. The record is from RNAcentral.
UUCACUUCGACAGGUUAUGAGCCCUAGU